AAUAGCUGAUAAAGCCGUCGCUGCCAAAAACACAGUAGCUUCCAAGCUCGGAUAUGGUGCCGACACCGAAACAACUCAAACAAACACAAGCAGCGAAAGACCAUCAACAAUCUCUUCAGCAACCUCUGCAAUAGCUGAUAAAGCUGUCACUGCCAAGAAUACUGUUGCUUCAAAGCUUGGAUAUGGUCCUGAAACAACACACCAAGAAGAAAAGCAAUCGGCAAUCUCUUCGGCAACCUCUGCAAUAGCUGACAAAGCUGUCACUGCCAAAAACACCGUAGCUUCAAAGCUCGGAUAUGGUCCUAAAACAACUCAUCGGGAAGAGGAAAAACCAUCGACAAUUUCUGCGGCAACCUCUGCAAUAGCUGAUAAAGCUGUCAAUGCCAAAAACACCGUAGCUUCAAAGCUCGGAUAUGGUCCUGAAACAACUCGUCGGGAAGAAGAAAAACAGUCAACAAUCUCUGCGGCAACCUCUGCAAUAGCUGAUAAAGCUGUCACUGCCAAAAACACCGUAGCUUCAAAGCUCGGAUAUGGUCCUGAAACGACUCAACGGGAAGAACAAAAACCAUCCGCAAUCUCUUCAGCAACCUCGGCCAUAGCUGACACAGCUGUCUCAGCCAAAAACACCGUUGCCUCCAAGCUCGGGUAUGGUGCUGACACUGAAACAGUUCAAGCAAAGCAUCACGAAGAAAAACCAUCAACAGUCUCUGCAGCCACCUCUGCGAUAGCUAAUAAAGCUGCCUCAGCCAAGAACACAGUAGCUUCAAAGCUCGGAUACGGUGCCAACACAGAAACAACACAAACAAAGAACUACCAAGAAAAUACAAGCAAUGAACAGCCAUCAACAAUUUCUUUAGCAACCUCAGCAGUAGCUGAUAAAGCUAUCUCAGCCAAAAACACCGUAGCUUCCAAGCUGGGUUUCGGUGACACAACAACAGCACAU
Molecule: long non-coding RNA, 943 nt
Filed under: Vigna radiata
Lineage: Eukaryota; Viridiplantae; Streptophyta; Magnoliopsida; Fabales; Fabaceae
Description: long non-coding RNA (VRAD_LNC001363)
Source: RNAcentral